CCCUACUGCUAUCGGGGUGGGACUAAGACAUGCGGGUUGAGCGUCUCUAAGCCAUGGUAGAGACGCAGCGUACGGCUCAGUAACACGUGGCUAACCUACCCUUAGGACGGGGACAACCCCGGGAAACUGGGACUAAUACCCGAUAGGUGAGGAGGCCUGGAAUGGUUCUUAGUCGAAAAGGCGUUGAAACCAUGCUUUUCGACGUCGCCUAAGGAUGGGGCCGCGUCCGAUCAGGUUGUUGGUGGGGUAACGGCUCACCAAGCCUUUAACCGGUACGGGCCGUGAGAGCGGGAGCCCGGAGAUGGGCACUGAGACAAGGGCCCAGGCCCUACGGGGCGCAGCAGUCGCGAAAACUCCGCAAUGCGCGAAAGCGUGACGGGGCUACCCCGAGUGCCGUCCGCUGAGGAUGGCUUUUCCCCGGUGUAAUGAGCCGGGGGAAUAAGGAGAGGGCAAGACUGGUGUCAGCCGCCGCGGUAAUACCAGCUCUCCGAGUGGUAGGGAUGAUUAUUGGGCUUAAAGCGUCCGUAGCCGGCUUAGCAAGUCUCCUGUUAAAUUCAGCGACCUAAUCGUUGAGCCGCGGGAGAUACUACUAGGCUAGGAGGCGGGAGAGGCCGACGGUAUUCUCGGGGUAGGGGUGAAAUCCUAUAAUCCCGGGAGGACCACCAGUGGCGAAGGCUGUCGGCUAGAACGCGCUCGACGGUGAGGGACGAAAGCUGGGGGAGCGAACCGGAUUAGAUACCCGGGUAGUCCCAGCCGUAAACGAUGCGGGCUAGGUGUUGGGGUGGCUACGAGCCACUUCAGUGCCGCAGGGAAGCCAUUAAGCCCGCCGCCUGGGGAGUACGGCCGCAAGGCUGAAACUUAAAGGAAUUGGCGGGGGAGCACCACAAGGCGUGAAGCUUGCGGUUC
This 906-nucleotide ribosomal RNA is filed under the name uncultured archaeon. Its description in RNAcentral is "bacterial SSU rRNA". It matches the Rfam family "Archaeal small subunit ribosomal RNA", at positions 21 to 903 of the family's 1478-position model. The record is from RNAcentral.